This 242-nucleotide long non-coding RNA is filed under the name Malus domestica (apple). Its description in RNAcentral is "long non-coding RNA (MDOM_LNC020935)". Lineage: Eukaryota; Viridiplantae; Streptophyta; Magnoliopsida; Rosales; Rosaceae. The record is from RNAcentral.
UUACCCUGCUUGGUCAUAGCACGGUAGUGGGAGCUGCCAGUUUCACAUGUUUUAACUCUGUUAGAGCACUUUGAAAAAGUGGUCUGUGGUAUCUGGCUCUCGAGAUUCGGAGAACGAUGCCUCUUUGAUUUUUGAGAAAGCAAUCAUGCUGGGGGUAUGACUCUCGAGAUUCGGAGAGCAGUGUCUCUUCGAUUUUUGAGGAAGUAAUCAUGUUGGGAGUCUGGCUCUCGAGAUUCGGAGGG